AACGUACGCUGGCGGCACGCCUAACACAUGCAAGUCGAACGAAGUAGCAAUACUUAGUGGCAGACGGGUGAGUAACAUGUAGGUAUCUGCCCUUUGGCCUGGAAUAACACGAGGAAACUUGUGCUAAUACCGGAUAAGUCUUUACGGAGAAAGCUUUAUGCACCAUUGGAUGAGCCUGCACUUGAUUAGUUUGUUGGUGGGGUAAUGGCCUACCAAGACUGUGAUCAAUAGCUGAUUUGAGAGGAUGAUCAGCCACAUUGGGACUGAGACACGGCCCAAACUCCUACGGGAGGCAGCAGUGGGGAAUCUUGCACAAUGGAGGAAACUCUGAUGCAGCGAUGCCGCGUGAGUGAAGAAGGCCCUUGGGUUGUAAAGCUCUUUCGUCGGGGAAGAAAAUGACUGUACCCGAAUAAGAAGGUCCGGCUAACUUCGUGCCAGCAGCCGCGGUAAUACGAAGGGACCUAGCGUAGUUCGGAAUUACUGGGCUUAAAGAGUUCGUAGGUGGUUGAAAAAGUUAGUGGUGAAAUCCCAGAGCUUAACUCUGGAACUGCCAUUAAAACUUUUCAGCUAGAGUAUGAUAGAGGAAAGCAGAAUUUCUAGUGUAGAGGUGAAAUUCGUAGAUAUUAGAAAGAAUACCAAUUGCGAAGGCAGCUUUCUGGAUCAUUACUGACACUGAGGAACGAAAGCAUGGGUAGCGAAGAGGAUUAGAUACCCUCGUAGUCCAUGCCGUAAACGAUGUGUGUUAGACGUUGGAAAUUUAUUUUCAGUGUCGCAGGGAAACCGAUAAACACACCGCCUGGGGAGUACGACCGCAAGGUUAAAACUCAAAUGAAUUGACGGGGACCCGCACAAGUAGUGGAGCAUGUGGUUUAAUUCGAAGAUACGCGCAGAACCUUACCAACACUUGACAUGUUCGUCGCGACUCUAAGAGAUUAGAGUUUUCGGUUCGGCCGGACGAAACACAGGUGCUGCAUGGCUGUCGUCAGCUCGUGUCGUGAGAUGUUGGGUUAAGUCCCGCAACGAGCGCAACCCUCACUUUUAGUUGCCAUCAUUAAGUUGGGCACUCUGAAAGAACUGCCAGUGAUAAGCUGGAGGAAGGUGGGGAUGACGUCAAGUCCUCAUGGCCCUUACGUGUUGGGCUACACACGUGCUACAAUGGUAUCUACAACAGGAAGCAAGACUGCGAAGUUAAGCAAAUCCCUAAAAGAUACCUCAGUUCGGAUUGCACUCUGCAACUCGAGUGCAUGAAGCUGGAAUUACUAGUAAUCGUGGAUCAGCGUGCCACGGUGAAUGCGUAUCCCGGGUCU
RNAcentral lists this ribosomal RNA (1307 nucleotides) under uncultured bacterium. RNAcentral describes it as "bacterial SSU rRNA". It matches the Rfam family "Bacterial small subunit ribosomal RNA", at positions 28 to 1381 of the family's 1533-position model. The record is from RNAcentral.